GUGAGUCAUCGAGUCUUUGAACGCACAUUGCGCCCAUUGGUAUUCCGAUGGGCAUGCCUGUUCGAGCGUCAUUAUCAACCCUCAAGCCCGGCUUGAUGUUGGAUCAGAACCCCCCCCGCGAGGGUGGGCUCGGUCCCAAAGACAAUGACGGCGUCUGUUAGACCCUCGGUGCAAUGAGCUUUAACCAGCACGCACUCGAGUCAAAGGACUUUCAGCCCGGUCCCCUUUUUAAUUUUUACAAGGUUGACCUCGGAUCAGGUAGGGAUACCCGCUGAACUUAAGCAUAUCAAUAAGCGGAGG
RNAcentral lists this ribosomal RNA (300 nucleotides) under uncultured fungus. RNAcentral describes it as "eukaryotic LSU rRNA". The stretch from base 1 to 71 matches the Rfam family "5.8S ribosomal RNA", at positions 84 to 154 of the family's 154-position model. Lineage: Eukaryota; Fungi. The record is from RNAcentral.